UUUAGCUGGUGCCUCUGGCCCGGAGCCUCUCAAGGGCAAUGAUCAAACUGUCAGUUAGUCUGCAUCGCAUCUUGAGGUUCAGUGGGGGAAGGACCUGCUUCCAAGUUCACUCACAUGGCUGUCGCUGGCGUUCAGUCCCUGCCAGGUCGUUGGACCGCACGCCUCAAUUCUCCUCAAUUCUCUGCUGUUGGCUAGAGAUCUCCCUGGGCCCUUGCUACACGGACCUCUCCCUCAGAAUGAGCAAGAAAAUGAGGGAGGCAAUGAAGUAAAAGCAUGGCCUUUUUGCAACCAAACCUCUGAGGGUCAAAGAAGUAGUGAGUUCCCCAUCACUGGAGAUAUUCAAGUCAAGAGAGGGCAUGAGAGAGCAUGAGCAGGGGGAGGCGCAGAGGGAGAGGGAGAAGCAGGAUCCCCACUGAACACGGAGCAGGAUGCCGACUCGACCCCAGAACCCAGGGAUCAUGACCUGAGCCGAAGGCAGAUGUUCACCGACGGAGCCAUUCAGGCACCCCAAAUUACCAACAUUUUAAAGAUACUUUUUACUGUGGUUAAAUAUA
This is a long non-coding RNA of Canis lupus familiaris (dog), 554 nucleotides long. RefSeq lists it as uncharacterized. The record is from RefSeq and is a predicted model, not a curated record. The transcript has 3 exons. NCBI's taxonomy places the organism in Eukaryota, Metazoa, Chordata, Mammalia, Carnivora, Canidae.